UGGGGAAUUUUGCACAAUGGGGGAAACCCUGAUGCAGCGACGCCGCGUGAUUUAGAAGGCCUUCGGGUUGUAAAAAUCUUUUCUAUGGGAAGAAAAUGACAGUACCAUAGGAAUAAGGACCGGCUAAUUACGUGCCAGCAGCCGCGGUAAUACGUAAGGUCCGAGCGUUGUCCGGAAUCAUUGGGCGUAAAGGGUACGUAGGCGGGUAAGCAAGUUAGAAGUGAAAUCCUGUAGCUCAACUACAGUAAGCUUUUAAAACUGCUCAUCUUGAGAUAUGGAAGGGAAAGUGGAAUUCCUAGUGUAGCGGUGAAAUGCGCAGAUAUUAGGGAGAAUACCGGUGGCGAAGGCGACUCUCUGGUCUGUAACUGGCGCUGGGGCUCGAAAGCGUGGGUAGCAAACAGG
RNAcentral lists this ribosomal RNA (402 nucleotides) under Bacteroidota bacterium. RNAcentral's name for it is "Bacteroidetes bacterium partial 16S ribosomal RNA". It matches the Rfam family "Bacterial small subunit ribosomal RNA", at positions 355 to 776 of the family's 1533-position model. The record is from RNAcentral. Lineage: Bacteria; Pseudomonadati; Bacteroidota.